Molecule: ribosomal RNA, 474 nt
Filed under: uncultured organism
Description: partial 16S ribosomal RNA
Rfam family: Bacterial small subunit ribosomal RNA
Source: RNAcentral
ACUCCUACGGGAGGCAGCAGUGGGGAAUUUUGGACAAUGGGCGAAAGCCUGAUCCAGCAAUGCCGCGUGAGUGAAGAAGGCCUUCGGGUUGUAAAGCUCUUUUGUCAGGGAAGAAACGGUGAGAGCUAAUAUCUCUUGCUAAUGACGGUACCUGAAGAAUAAGCACCGGCUAACUACGUGCCAGCAGCCGCGGUAAUACGUAGGAUGCAAGCGUUAAUCGGAAUUACUGGGCGUAAAGCGUGCGCAGGCGGUUUUGUAAGUCUGAUGUGAAAUCCCCGGGCUCAACCUGGGAAUUGCAUUGGAGACUGCAAGGCUAGAAUCUGGCAGAGGGGGGUAGAAUUCCACGUGUAGCAGUGAAAUGCGUAGAUAUGUGGAGGAACACCGAUGGCGAAGGCAGCCCCCUGGGUCAAGAUUGACGCUCAUGCACGAAAGCGUGGGGAGCAAACAGGAUUAGAAACCCUGGUAGUCCCAUGA